CGGCCCUCGACGGCAACAGAACGAUGCUCUACUACUCCAACAAGGACAGGGGUCAUAUUUUAUUCAAUGUAUUUAUUAACGAAGUACCUUUUUAAAAAGAAAUGUACAAGUGAAUCCAGCGCUCUGCAAUCUCUGUGUAGUCUGUAGUUUAUAAACCUCAGAGACUGGCUGGCUGUCAGCGGGUUGAGGACUGAAAACAUAGGAAAUAUGGCAAUGUACAUAUUUACAUAGUGAAGAGCAGGCUUGUCUAGACCGACACAGCGUAAUGUUGGUUGAAAAUAAUAAACUAAAUAACAAGAGCAGCUAGAGGCUAAUGCAUGUAAUGACAGGUUUUAUGACAAUCAGUGAUUGAAGUUAGGAUGGGAAUAAAAAGGCACAGUUUUCACCCCACCACCACUGACAUCUGGGCCUGUAUUCAGAAAUCUUCUCAGAGUAGGUUGGCUGGAUCUAGGAUCAGGUUGUCCCCCCCGUCCAUGUAAUGUCCCGUGUGGCUCAGUUGGAACUUGCGACGCCGGCGGCGGCGGGGGGGGGGAGUGGAUAAGAACGUCUGCUAAAUGACAUAAAUGUAAUGUGUUUCAUUGUGAUCUUAAAAUAAAAAAAUAAAAUCAUAGAUCAGUCCCACAUACUCUGUAGUGACGCUGUAAGAACUUAGUUAAAUUAAAUGGAAAUUACCUUCAUUAUAAUUAUUACCAUUCUAAAAAAGGACCCUUACAGCUUUUCCCAUUCAUUUAUGAGAAUUCCAGGGAGACAUCCCAAAUGGCACCCUAUUGCCUAUAUAGUGCACUACUUUUUACCAGGUCCCUAUGGCCAAUGGCACCCUAUUCUCCAUGUAGUGCACUACUUUUAAGACCAGUAGAGUACAAUAUAGAGAAUAGGGUGCAAUCCAGGACAUCCCCCCCAAUACUUCCAAUAGCACAGCAUUAAAUACCAUUCAAAAGGGGCAAUGUAGUUUACAACUACAAAUAAAACUAAAAUCAGGUAAAUCCAAUGUAUAAUCAUAAAAUACAUUUUAUAUAAAAUGAGAACAUGCUUGCCGAUUACUGGACAGAUAUUGUCGCAUGAAACAACAUUCUCUCAUCUAAAACGUUAUAAUUCAGAGAGGGAGAUAGUGGGACCACCAUCUUGGAUUUUUUGGGAUGAAUUAGUCCUAUUGUGUAUUUACCCUCUUCGACCAGAUCUGAGUACAAGUCAACUUCAGACACUGUUUCUCCAGAAGUUGAUUUAAAACCCAAUACAUUUAACUCCACAUUAUAGACUGGACUAUUGGGGGAAAUAGGGAUAACCAAGUGAAUUUCUGCCAUACAGACAGAUACGCAAUAAAACAAUACAUUUCACAACAGGACUAACUGUACAGACAGACGGAUUUGACAGAUGUACAGACAGUGCCCAGAGACAGACAGACAUCGCAACACAGACAGGUUAUGGAUUUUCUUUGGCUGUUUACAUAGAUCCACGCACCGUAGAUCAGUUCAUUGUAGAAAUACAAUGUAGUACAUAGAAUACACACAGUCCAGGAACCUUGGAGUAAAAAACAGAUCCUAAGACAGUUUCCUCUCCAGAGAGUGACACCUUAUUCCCUAUUUAGCCUAUGAAACCUGGUGAAAAGUAGUGCACUAUAUAGGGAAUAGGGUGUCACUUGAGACACAACACAGGGUUAGGGGUAAACUGAUCCCAGAUCUGUGCUCUGCUAUGGGGCAGCUUUGAUCUGAAACAGAUACAGGCCCUGGGACAGAGAGGAGAAGUUAGGGGUAAGCUGAUCCCAGAUCUGUGCUCUGCUAUGGGGCAGCUUUGAUCUGAAACAGAUACAGGCCCUGGGACAGAGAGGAGAAGUUAGGGGUAAACUGAUCCCAGAUCUGUGCUCUGCUAUGGGGCAGCUUUGAUCUGAAACAGAUACAGGCCCUGGGUGUCUGAGGGGAGAAGUUGGGGAGAGUUGCAGUACAUUAAUGAUCGACAGACAGUUUUCAAAUUCCAAACCAAUCCCUAGUCCCCACUCCAAAACUAGGGUGUAGAGGGGAUUCAACCUAGAGUGUAGGGGGUUAGGGUUUCAACCUAGAGUGUAGGGGGUUAGGGUUUCAACCUAGAGUGUAGGGGGUUAGGGUUUCAACCUAGAGUGUAGGGGGUUAGGGUUUCAACCUAGAGUGUAGAGGGGAUUCAACCUAGAGUGUAGGGGGUUAGGAUUCAACCUAGAGUGUAGGGGGUUAGGGUUUCAACCUAGAGUGUAGGGGGGAUUCAACCUAGAGUGUAGGGGGUUAGGGUUUCAACCUAGAGUGUAGGGGGUUAGGGUUUCAACCUAGAGUGUAGGGGGUUAGGAUUCAACCUAGAGUGUAGGGGGUUAGGGUUUCAACCUAGGGUGUAGGGGGUUAGGAUUCAACCUAGGGUGUAGGGGGUUAGGGUUUCAACCUAGAGUGUAGGGGGUUAGGGUUUCAACCUAGAGUGUAGGGGGUUAGGGUUUCAACCUAGAGUGUAGGGGGUUAGGGUUUCAACCUAGAGUGUAGGGGGUUAGGAUUCAACCUAGGGUGUAGAGGGGAUUCAACCUAGGGUGUAGGGGGUUAGGGUUUCAACCUAGAGUGUAGGGGGUUAGGGUUUCAACCUAGAGUGUAGGGGGUUAGGAUUCAACCUAGAGUGUAGGGGGUUAGGGUUUCAACCUAGAGUGUAGGGGGUUAGGAUUCAACCUAGGGUGUAGGGGGGAUUCAACCUAGGGUGUAGGGGGUUAGGGUUUCAACCUAGAGUGUAGGGGGUUAGGGUUUCAACCUAGAGUGUAGGGGGUUAGGGAUUCAACCUAGAGUGUAGGGGGUUAGGAUUCAACCUAGGGUGUAGGGGGUUAGGAUUCAACCUAGGAGUGUAGGGGGUUAGGGUUUCAACCUAGAGUGUAGAGGGGAUUCAACCUAGAGUGUAGGGGGUUAGGAUUCAACCUAGAGUGUAGGGGGUUAGGAUUCAACCUAGAGUGUAGGGGGUUAGGAUUCAACCUAGAGUGUAGGGGGUUAGGGUUUCAACCUAGAGUGUAGGGGGUUAGGGUUUCAACCUAGAGUGUAGGGGGUUAGGGUUUCAACCUAGAGUGUAGGGUUCAACCUAGGGUGUAGGGAUUAGGGUUCAACCUAGGGUGUAGGGGUUAGGGUUUCAACCUAGGGUGUAAGGGGUUAGGGUUGGACAUAAGUAAGAGGGUAUGUCCCAAAGUGCACACUAUACCCUAUAUAGUACACUACUUCUGACCAGAGCUCUAUGAACCCUGGUGAAACGUAUCACACUAUAUAGAGAACACGGUGCCCUUUGGGACAAACAGCCAGAGGCAGUUGAACGGGAUAAUAGACAUAAAGCGUCUCCUGGAGAAGCAUGGACUGCCUGAAAACAGAUUUCAGCCCUUACAGGACUCAGCCAUCUAGCUUUAAAAUAUAUACCUUUACAUAUAAAAACACAAGGAGUCCCAAACCACACCCUAACCCCCCUCUCCCCCCACGUAGUGCACUAGCUGGGGAAUAGGGUGCCAUUAGCCAUAGGGCUCUGGUUAAAUGUAGUGCACUAGAAAGGGAAUAGGGUGCCAUUAGGGACUGUACCCCAUCCUGUGCACAUGUUAAAAACUACUAGUACCUGUACAUUACCCACCCAGAAAAAAAUACUCAAUGUCUACAGGUAAAAAGACAACUUUUCCUUUUAUGUCCGUAGGCAUAGCGUUGUAUCAAAAAUAUACAGCUGCAGUAAACCAGUUUUACAGAACAAUGUUUGUUUGAACAGAAUGCUUUGACAUCGCUAGGUGACAUCAGAGGAUGGAGCGUGAAGGUUCUUUAUGAUGUCAUUAUGAUGUCCACGUGUUGAGGAGAUGAAGGCUCCACUCCAUGAUGAAAAUCCUCACCUCAUCGGUUUACGUCCCAAACGGCAGCCUAUUCCCUAUAGUGACCAGGGACCAUAGGGCUUUUAUUUUGGAACAUACAAGCUUGUAAAAACACUGUCUUUCAGCUCCAAAUGAUUUUACAUUUCCGUAUUCUACAAAUAUUCCCAGGCAUAAUAGAGAGAUAUGUGAUUGUACACAAAUGUAAGCAAGGUUUGAAAUGAUUAUGUUUUAGUCAAAUAGUCUAUCUGUUUGGGCUUGUUGUAUUCAAUUUGCAGUCCACAAAUUCUAUGUAAUUAUAUUCAGGCCCCCUGACCAGCCACUCAAGAAAAUAAAAUAAAAAAUUAAAUCAGCCUAUGGCUGAAUCUAGUUGAUGAUCACUGGGGUCUAGGGUGCUAUUUGGGCCGCACCCAUCCCCUCUGCCCCCUCAGUGACUAGUCUAGGGACUGAAGGGAGUGAGAUUCCGGAAUGGAACUCAGCCGUCAUCCUGUUCCGAGCACCAUGACGUCUCCAUAGCAACUUAGCAGCAGCUGGUUCUGGAAGGAGAACAACUCCCCAGAGCAGGAGUGGAAGACUGUUUAGAAAUCAGCUUUUCACCCUGUUCAUCCCCCCAUCCUUCCUUUCCAAACGUGUUCCUCUACGCUUCAACCAGGCAGUGACAUUCUGUGUACCAUUCCAUCCUUCUGUCUCAUCCUUUCCCACCCUCCUUUACAUCCCCCCGCUCCUCCUCUUCCAAAAGCACUCUCUCCAACUCCUCUUCCUCCGUUCCGGUUCAGUCUUUUCUCUGCGUCAUUGUUCCUCCUCCACUUCCUACUGGCUCCAUUUCCUGUUUCCUGGUUCAGUCCACCUUCUCUACCUUACCGAUGAUCUUCUCCUCGUAGAUGGGCAAGACGGUGUCGUCCUCUUUGACUUCCUCAAACACCACGCCACAGUCAAACUCAUCACUCACCUUCUUAAAGUAGAACCUAGAACACACAGUGAAUCAACACACACACACACAGUGAAUCAACACACACACACACAGUGAAUCAACACACACACACACACACACACAGUGAAUCAACACACACACACACACACACACAGUGAAUCAACACACACACACACACACACACACACACACAGUGAAUCAACACACACACACACACAGUGAAUCAACACACACACACACACACACACACACACAGUGAAUCAACACACACACACACACACAGUGAAUCAACACACACACACACAGUGAAUCAACACACACACACACACACAGUGAAUCAACACACACACACACAGUGAAUCAACACGCACACACA
RNAcentral lists this long non-coding RNA (5130 nucleotides) under Salmo salar (Atlantic salmon). RNAcentral's name for it is "lncRNA (ENSSSAG00000092236.1, ENSSSAG00000095594.1)". Lineage: Eukaryota; Metazoa; Chordata; Actinopteri; Salmoniformes; Salmonidae. The record is from RNAcentral.